Molecule: ribosomal RNA, 497 nt
Filed under: uncultured bacterium
Lineage: Bacteria
Description: partial 16S ribosomal RNA
Rfam family: Bacterial small subunit ribosomal RNA
Source: RNAcentral
GACGAACGCUGGCGGCGUGUCUAAUACAUGCAAGUUGAGCGAUGAAGAUUGGUGCUUGCACCAAUUUGAAGAGCAGCGAACGGGUGAGUAACGCGUGGGGAAUCUGCCUUUGAGCGGGGGACAACAUUUGGAAACGAAUGCUAAUACCGCAUAACAACUUUAAACAUAAGUUUUAAGUUUGAAAGAUGCAAUUGCAUCACUCAAAGAUGAUCCCGCGUUGUAUUAGCUAGUUGGUGAGGUAAAGGCUCACCAAGGCGAUGAUACAUAGCCGACCUGAGAGGGUGAUCGGCCACAUUGGGACUGAGACACGGCCCAAACUCCUACGGGAGGCAGCAGUAGGGAAUCUUCGGCAAUGGACGAAAGUCUGACCGAGCAACGCCGCGUGAGUGAAGAAGGUUUUCGGAUCGUAAAACUCUGUUGGUAGAGAAGGACGUUGGUGAGAGUGGAAAGCUCAUCAAGUGACGGUAACUACCCAGAAAGGGACGGCUAACUACGUG